Molecule: ribosomal RNA, 527 nt
Filed under: uncultured Ohtaekwangia sp.
Lineage: Bacteria; Pseudomonadati; Bacteroidota; Cytophagia; Cytophagales; Fulvivirgaceae
Description: bacterial SSU rRNA
Rfam family: Bacterial small subunit ribosomal RNA
Source: RNAcentral
GGAAGUCUGACCAGCCAUGCCGCGUGCAGGAAGAACGGCCUUUCUGGGUUGUAAACUGCUUUUGCCAGGGGCUAAAAAGCUCAUGCGUGAGAAAUUGAAAGUACCUGGUGAAUAAGCCACGGCUAACUACGUGCCAGCAGCCGCGGUAAUACGUAGGUGGCAAGCGUUGUCCGGAUUUAUUGGGUUUAAAGGGUGCGUAGGCGGCUUUGUAAGUCAGUGGUGAAAUAUGGCAGCUCAACUGUCAGGGUGCCAUUGAUACUGCGGAGCUUGAGUACAGAUGAGGUAGGCGGAAUUGACGGUGUAGCGGUGAAAUGCUUAGAUAUCGUCAAGAACACCGAUAGCGAAGGCAGCUUACUAGGCUGUAACUGACGCUGAGGCACGAAAGUGUGGGGAUCAAACAGGAUUAGAUACCCUGGUAGUCCACACUGUAAACGUUGAUGACUCGCUGUUGGCGAUACACGGCCAGCGGCAGAGAGAAAUCGUUAAGUCAUCCACCUGGGGAGUACGCCGGCAACGGUGAAACUCAA